RNAcentral lists this ribosomal RNA (489 nucleotides) under uncultured bacterium. RNAcentral describes it as "bacterial SSU rRNA". It matches the Rfam family "Bacterial small subunit ribosomal RNA", at positions 28 to 507 of the family's 1533-position model. The record is from RNAcentral.
GACGAACGCUGGCGGCGUGGAUUAGGCAUGCAAGUCGAACGGUAGGAUACCUUCGGGUAGUCUGAGAGUGGCGAACGGGUGAGUAACACGUAGGUGAUCUACCCUCAAGAUUGGGACAACCCAGGGAAACUUGGGCUAAUACCGGAUGAAAGCAGCAGUGAUGUUGUUUGAAAGGUGGCGUAAGCUGCCGUUUGGGGAUGAGCCUGCGCUCUAUUAGUUAGUUGGCGGGGUAAAGGCCCACCAAGGCGAUGAUAGAUAGGCGGCCUUAACGGGUGGUCGCCCACACUGGGAUUGAGAUACGGCCCAGACUCCUACGGGAGGCAGCAGUCGAGAAUAGUCUACAAUGGCCGAAAGGCUGAUAGUGCGACGCCGCGUGAACGAAGAAGCCCUUCGGGGUGUAAAGUUCUUUUAUAUGUGAGCAGUGCUUUCUAUGUGAACAGCAUGGGGAGAGAGAUAUUAGCAUAUGAAUAAGCAACGGCUAACUCCGUG